AUUGAACGCUGGCGGCAUGCUUUACACAUGCAAGUCGAACGGUAACAGGCCUUCGGGUGCUGACGAGUGGCGAACGGGUGAGUAAUGCAUCGGAACGUGCCCAGAGGUGGGGGAUAACGCAGCGAAAGCUGUGCCAAUACCGCAUGUGAUCUGAGGUUGAAAGCGGGGGACCAAGCAGCAAUGUUUGGCUUCGCGCGUCUGGAGCGGCCGAUGUCAGAUUAGGUAGUUGGUGGGGUAAAGGCCUACCAAGCCGACGAUCUGUAGCUGGUCUGAGAGGACGACCAGCCACACUGGGACUGAGACACGGCCCAGACUCCUACGGGAGGCAGCAGUGGGGAAUUUUGGACAAUGGGCGCAAGCCUGAUCCAGCAAUGCCGCGUGCGGGAAGAAGGCCUUCGGGUUGUAAACCGCUUUUGUACGGAACGAAAAGGCUCUGGCUAAUCCCUGGGGCUGAUGACGGUACCGUAAGAAUAAGCACCGGCUAACUACGUG
RNAcentral lists this ribosomal RNA (492 nucleotides) under uncultured bacterium. RNAcentral's name for it is "partial 16S ribosomal RNA". It matches the Rfam family "Bacterial small subunit ribosomal RNA", at positions 30 to 507 of the family's 1533-position model. The record is from RNAcentral.